ACGCUCAGUUGCCCCCAUUUCUCUCUCUUACCUGCUUUUGCUUCUCCUCAGUCCUCAUCCUCACAUCUCCUGCUUUGAUUUUGCUUUAUUUCAUUUUUUAUCUUCAACCAAUCCAACUGAUCAGUUUUGUUUGCUCACAGCCUUCUCGAUACUUCUCUUAUGGGUUUGGGUCCAACAAUGGCUGGGAUGCUGAGUUUUGUAAAUUUUUGUUGUUCUGAUUUUUCUGGUCAAUGGAUGCCCUAGCUGUUACACCUCGCAUUCCUCUCUCUCCUCAUCACCACCGUCGGAUUUCCUCCCGCUCAUUUCCAGCGUUCAUCUCCGACGCUCCAAUCAACCUCUUCGUCUUCGCCGCUCUCUCACCUGCUCCGCUAUUUCUUCUCCUUCGCUUGAAGUGAUGAUGGGAAAAUGGCACUUGGAAGACUAUGUGCACUUUGUGAGCAGGUGAAGGAACUGCUAUCUUUUUUCAAAUUUUACCCUGGUUGAGUAUCCAUAAGUUCUUUCACCUUUCUUGUAUCUGGUGGAGCUUACUCAAUCUUAAUCAUUUGUUAUUGCGUAGAAAGGGGGAUAUCUCAAGAUAUUUAGUGAAUCAGAAAUCACUUGAUCAUUCUCAACCAUUUAGUGGAUUGAAUUUUUUAACUAAUGAAGUGGGUGCUUAUUUUGUUGUAAGGGGACCAUUUGUCUUCAAUGGAGAUGUUUAGUAUGUUUUCAUUACAUAUUAUUCUAAGAUUAUAAUUUAUUAGUUAUCUUAUUUACGAGGAAAAGAAAACGGAAUCAAAUUAAUGUGCAAUUUGAUUAUUUUGCAGAAUUGGGUUUCGAAGGAAGUCCGUCAAUGGUGAUUGUAAAUUUUACUAUGCUUCUAGGCAAUUCCCCUUAUUUCUCCUCCUCCGAUCGUGCUGAUUGCAACUCUCGGGGAGGUUGUGUCAGUCUGCUCAGCAUGAACCUACCUGCAGCAAGCUACGCAGCCAAGAACUUCUUCCAAAGGUUUAAUUGCCACAGAGUUGAAAAAGAGAACAGCAACAGGAUGGAUAUGAAAUCACAUCCUGGAAAAUUAAAUCCUGAUAGUGACAAGUGCAGGUGAAGAUCUCUAAUAUAAGUGCUCCCCUAAUUUGUCAUUUGCAACUUAAUAAAUUUAUUUUUGAUGCAAGUAUAACAAGUGGCAGCAGAAGUGUAGGGUAUGAGAGUCCUUCGUGAGAUCGGCUUGUGUAUCUGACAACCUGUGUAAUCGAACAUCAUGUAAAGUCCAGGUUAAAAUGGAUAGGUGUAAUAUGGAAUUUUCCAUGCUGCAAGUGCCGAUAAAGAUUUUGGGGCUGUCUUGAAAAUGGCUCGAUUGGUAAAGGAUGUCUCUCUUAAGGCACAAAAGGUUACCUCUGAUUCAGUUGUCAAGGCUCCAUAAAAAAACUCUUAUAAUACCAGCUAAUUUGUGCAAAUUGUGGCUAAGGUCUUUGUCCGCACUCUUCAUUUUAUAGGUUUCUAUGUACAGGAAAUGUAUGAUUGAAUCAGGUAUAAAUUAUUGUUUAUUUAAUUGAAUAAGGGAUUUACCAUGAUUGGCCAGCAAUAUUGGUGUUAUGCGGCCUGUGGUGGUGGGUAUACUCUAAUAAGACAUGGCCUUUGCUUGAAGGGAUUUUCCCUUUCUUAAAUCAGGUGCAAGAUUAGGUGGGGGAUUUGGAAGGAUGAAUUUGGCUUCGUGUUAGCUGACAUUUUGAAGCAAUAUGAAAUAUUUUUCGAUGAUUUAUUACUCUACGCACUAAUUUUUUAGGUUAAUUCCAGUGUGGGUACAUGUGGUUUCAAACAAUAUAUGUGAAUUUCAAGCUGCUACUUUCUGUGUUUAUGCUUUUCUGAUUUUGUAGGAUUUUUGCUACUUUGUAUUUUGAUUACAGAUAAUUAAUGUUCAUGGGGCAUUAAAAUAAAUAAUCUGUUCUGAAAUGGGAUUUUCCUUUCUAAAAUUAGGUGGGGUAUUGGAAGGAUGAAUUUGGCUUCAUGUUAGCUGACAUUUUGAAGCAAAAUAAAGUAAAUAAUUCAGGCAUGAGAUUUGAGCCUGCGGGCAAAUGAGGAGAUCGAGAAGGAGGCUCUUUACCGAGUUCAAGCUCAAAAAAAUUCUGAAAAGUCGAAAGAGUUCAAGCUCUUCACUCUUUUGUGGGGUGUGCUGCAGAACAACGUCAUUGAUGCUUUGUGUUAAAUCUUGUAUUUUAUAACUUAAGUAGCAAUUACAUUUGAGUGAACAUGUGCAAUUUUUCAUGAUUUCCCCUCCUUUUUCCCUUCUGCAUUGUCAUGAGAAAUUCCUUAACAUAGUUAGUAAUUGAAAUUGAAGUAGCAUUCAUUAUUAUUAAAGGAUUGUAGAGUUAAUAUUUUU
Molecule: long non-coding RNA, 2350 nt
Organism: Chenopodium quinoa (quinoa)
Lineage: Eukaryota; Viridiplantae; Streptophyta; Magnoliopsida; Caryophyllales; Amaranthaceae
Exons: 6
Source: RefSeq, a predicted model, not a curated record